RNAcentral lists this ribosomal RNA (443 nucleotides) under uncultured Pseudomonadota bacterium. RNAcentral's name for it is "bacterial SSU rRNA". It matches the Rfam family "Bacterial small subunit ribosomal RNA", at positions 335 to 795 of the family's 1533-position model. Lineage: Bacteria; Pseudomonadati; Pseudomonadota. The record is from RNAcentral.
ACUCCUACGGGAGGCAGCAGUGGGGAAUAUUGGACAAUGGGCGCAAGCCUGAUCCAGCCAUGCCGCGUGAGUGAUGAAGGCCUUCGGGUUGUAAAGCUCUUUUGGCGGGGACGAUGAUGACGGUACCCGCAGAAUAAGCCCCGGCAAACUUCGUGCCAGCAGCCGCGGUAAGACGAAGGGGGCAAGCGUUGUUCGGAAUUACUGGGCGUAAAGGGCGCGUAGGCGGCCGCUUUAGUCAGGUGUGAAAGCCCUGGGCUCAACCUGGGAAUGGCACUUGAUACUGGGUGGCUAGAGAGCGGGAGAGGAUGGUGGAAUUCCCAGUGUAGAGGUGAAAUUCGUAGAUAUUGGGAAGAACACCGGUGGCGAAGGCGGCCAUCUGGACCGUAUCUGACGCUGAGGCGCGAAAGCGUGGGGAGCAAACAGGAUUAGAUACCCUGGUAGUC